CCGUCAGCGAGGCCCUGGUCGGGCAUCAGGCGCAUGAGGAGCUGGGUGCGAUCUCCGCAGGUGUCCGCGGAUUCGUCGGCCGCCUCUCGCGUGCGACGCCUGCACCGGUCCUGCAGCACCUUCUGCUCCGCCUUCCACUGCUGCUGCCUCAGCACCUUUUCAUUGUACGUCACAUCCUCAGUCCCCUGCCACAGCGCCAGAUCCUCCCACUUCAGACAU
Molecule: long non-coding RNA, 219 nt
Filed under: Coccomyxa subellipsoidea
Lineage: Eukaryota; Viridiplantae; Chlorophyta; Trebouxiophyceae; Coccomyxaceae
Description: long non-coding RNA (CSUB_LNC000754)
Source: RNAcentral